This 1508-nucleotide ribosomal RNA is filed under the name Francisella sp. UA2660. RNAcentral's name for it is "16S ribosomal RNA". It matches the Rfam family "Bacterial small subunit ribosomal RNA". Lineage: Bacteria; Pseudomonadati; Pseudomonadota; Gammaproteobacteria; Thiotrichales; Francisellaceae. The record is from RNAcentral.
UGGCUCAGAUUGACGCUGGCGGCAUGCUUAACACAUGCAAGUCGAACGGUAACAGGUCUUCGGAUGCUGACGAGUGGCGGACGGGUGAGUAACGCGUAGGAAUCUGCCCAUCUGUGGGGGAUACCAGUUGGAAACGACUGUUAAUACCGCAUAAUAUCUGCGGAUUAAAGGUGGCCUUUGUGCUGCCGCAGAUGGAUGAGCCUGCGUUGGAUUAGCUAGUUGGUGGGGUAAGGGCCUACCAAGGCUACGAUCCAUAGCUGAUUUGAGAGGAUGAUCAGCCACAUUGGGACUGAGACACGGCCCAAACUCCUACGGGAGGCAGCAGUGGGGAAUAUUGGACAAUGGGGGAAACCCUGAUCCAGCAAUGCCAUGUGUGUGAAGAAGGCUCUAGGGUUGUAAAGCACUUUAGUUGGGGAGGAAAGCCUAUAAGUUAAUAGCUUGUAGGAAGGACGUUACCCAAAGAAUAAGGACCGGCUAACUCCGUGCCAGCAGCCGCGGUAAUACGGGGGGUCCGAGCGUUAAUCGGAAUUACUGGGCGUAAAGGGUCUGUAGGUGGUUUAUUAAGUCAGAUGUGAAAGCCCAGGGCUCAACCUUGGAACUGCAUUUGAUACUGGCAAACUAGAGUAUGGUAGAGGAAUGGGGAAUUUCUGGUGUAGCGGUGAAAUGCGUAGAGAUCAGAAGGAACACCAAUGGCGAAGGCAACAUUCUGGAUCAAUACUGACACUGAGGGACGAAAGCGUGGGGAUCAAACAGGAUUAGAUACCCUGGUAGUCCACGCUGUAAACGAUGAGUACUAGCUGUUGGAUUCGGUGUAAAGGAUCUAGUGGCGCAGCUAACGCGUUAAGUACUCCGCCUGGGGACUACGGCCGCAAGGCUAAAACUCAAAGGAAUUGACGGGGACCCGCACAAGCGGUGGAGCAUGUGGUUUAAUUCGAUGCAACGCGAAGAACCUUACCUGGUCUUGACAUCCUGCGAACUUUCUAGAGAUAGAUUGGUGCCUUCGGGAACGCAGUGACAGGUGCUGCACGGCUGUCGUCAGCUCGUGUUGUGAAAUGUUGGGUUAAGUCCCGCAACGAGCGCAACCCCUAUUGAUAGUUACCAUCAUUAAGUUGGGUACUCUAUUGAGACUGCCGCUGACAAGGCGGAGGAAGGUGGGGACGACGUCAAGUCAUCAUGGCCCUUACGACCAGGGCUACACACGUGCUACAAUGGGUAUUACAGAGGGCUGCGAAGGUGCGAGCUGGAGCGAAACUCAGAAAGGUACUCUUAGUCCGGAUUGCAGUCUGCAACUCGACUGCAUGAAGUCGGAAUCGCUAGUAAUCGCAGGUCAGAAUACUGCGGUGAAUACGUUCCCGGGUCUUGUACACACCGCCCGUCACACCAUGGGAGUGGGUUGCUCCAGAAGUAGAUAGUUUAACGAAUGGGCGUUUACCACGGAGUGAUUCAUGACUGGGGUGAAGUCGUAACAAGGUAGCCGUAGGGGAACCUGCGGCUGGAUCACCUCCUUA